UUUGAGCUCAAUCUAUUGUUUCCGACCUAAGAAGCUUUCCAGGAUGCGUCUAUAAAGUGUGUGCGUCGAUAAUAAGGAAUAUGAUGUAGCGUUCGAACCAGUUUAAGCGACUUGAUCGUUUUUGGAAAAAUUGACCCCUUUUGAAAUUUUCGGUCAAAAAACCAAUUUAUUAAUGUAAUAUAACCACGUGUUGCGUGAGCUCAAGGGACAAUUUUCUGCACAAUAUGCAUGUAGAGAAUUUGAGCUUAAAAUAGGCAAAUAUCGUUCUAAAAUCGCAUAAAAUCGAUAACAAAUUUUGGAGCUGAGAACUCGUUUUUUUCUUAGCAGGUUCCUUCUCAUGAAAAUGGUAGUUAAAUUUCGAUCGGUUUUUUCUUUAAUUGUUUUUUGCAAUUAGUUUACUUUGAAUAACAACAUAUUGAUUAAUUGUUAUCGAUUGGCAAGUUAUUUUGAAACCGCAGUUAUUUUUAAUAAAAUAUGUGAACCCAUUAACGACACUAAUCUAUCACAGAUAAACAUUGUUUUCCAAACAUAAAUGUCGACGAUUUUUGCCAGUUAAAUAUUACUUGCCAAGUGCAACGGAAAGCUAAAAAUAAAUGUGAAACAUCUAUUAAUAAUAAGGGAACUUAAUAUCAAAAGAGAUCAAUCGUAAAGAAAUAAUGUCUUUCCAGUUUCAAUUUGCGAGACUUUCUUGUUUAGAUGCCAAAUAUACACGAUAUAUGUAUAUCAAAUAUCGCAGUUUUAAGCUUUUUCAACAACUUUUUUCCCAAUUUCAUCGAAGAUAAAUGUCUGUUUUCUAUCUCUUGGUCAUCAGCCCACACUUAUUUUCUCAGACCGUUUUAACGGACACAUUUUGCAAAAAUCAUCACCACGUUGAAAAGUUCGUAGUAUUACAGGUGGCUGCGUUCUCAACACCACUAUUAACUUGUCUUUAAGUUGUGCAUUGCAGAUGUGUAUCUACGACCUAAACAUUAAUGGAGAUCGCUUCCGCAUUUUCCUUUCAUUUCGACUUUCUGUGGGGAAUAUUUCAUCAAACGAAAUUAUCGCUUACCAAUUACGCAAAGGAAGCAAUAAAACGCAUAAUGUACAAGCAAUAAUGUCGCCAACAGUGCCAUAAGAAAAAACACGUGUGAGACACGAUAAACAGUCAACUAUUUAUCAAUGAGUUUGCUGUUUGAAGUUUCCAUUGAUGAUGAUGAUGCGGCCGAUACCAUCAUUAUGCAAGAUGGAUGUUAGGUAGUAGUGAUGGGUUUUGGCUGAAUUAGUGUUAAUUUGGGCAAAAUUCGUUAAGUUUUUGGUUGUUCGAGGAACUUUAAAUGAACAUCCUUGAUGUUUUCUAGUUAACAGUGCAAUUAUGUUUGGGAGUUUCAAUGGACUGAUAAAUGUAAAUUCAAUUGUUCAUUAUUCAUCUCUCUGCCUUGCACAUCCAUAUGAAACCCAACAACCGAAGAUCAAUUGUGGAAAGUUCGUAACGCAAUAUUUUAAUUAAUUCAAGUCGCAGCCUGCCAAGCGGCUCUUAAUUGUUGCUAAAUGCGCUCUUUUCCAACAAACACGCAUCAUCUAUAGAAUUUCGGGGAUGAUUAUUAAUUGUUGUUGAUUGUGCAAACUGACUGCACUGACAUGCUUUGUAUCACGAUAUUUCAUAUUCUUAUAGACGUUUUAGUCGGUAAACACGCCGGAGAAAUUAAUGGCAACCCGUCAGUUGUCUUCAGAGGUGCUUUUCAUCCUUGUUGAUGGCCUGUCUCCCACAUUUUUAGUCUUUUUUUUUGUGAAGAACCGCCCAUUCAAGCUCCAAGUGAAACGGAUUUAUCCAAGUCAUGAAGUCAUUUAGAUUCUCGAUUACCACGUUCGUCCGACCAUUAUUAUUGUUUGCUUGGGCAGGCUUUCAAAGUCGUUUUUCUCUCGCUUUUCACGGAAACAAAAAUGUGGUUUUAUGACGGCGCAACAGUAACAUACGUUUGAUGACCGAUUAACUGGCACAGUAUAAUUUUUAAUAUGUGCACAUACACACAUCGUAGUUAAGCUUCAAAUUGCUGCUGGCAGAAGAAGGCAGGUGAAAGUGCUUGGAAAGCCAAUAUUUAGUGAGAAAAUUACGCAACUCGAUGUUUUCCUAGAACAUAGAUAGAGGAGCUGCGGAAUACAAUUCUGUGGCCUGAAGGCCGAUCAUGACCCAUUUUCAGGUCGGAAAAUUCAUCUACAAACAGCAAUGUGAAGCUAAGCUCCCUUCAGAAUUUAUGAUGAUAGGACGAGUAGCCAAACAUGCCACAAAGUGAGAAUCCUUGUUGUCCUCGACUGACAAAAAGGUCUCAGGAGACCAGAUGAUUGGGAUCCUGCUGAUUUCAAGUUUGACGAGUUCUCGGAUAGUCUGAUGAGUUGUGAGCUGUAACUUUACAUGAAUAAAUUAUUUUUACUUU
Molecule: long non-coding RNA, 2411 nt
Organism: Dendroctonus ponderosae (mountain pine beetle)
Lineage: Eukaryota; Metazoa; Arthropoda; Insecta; Coleoptera; Curculionidae
Exons: 3
Source: RefSeq, a predicted model, not a curated record